Molecule: transfer RNA, 90 nt
Filed under: Ganoderma leucocontextum
Lineage: Eukaryota; Fungi; Basidiomycota; Agaricomycetes; Polyporales; Polyporaceae
Description: tRNA-Val
Source: RNAcentral
GGGUCGGUGGCGUAGUUGGUUAUCGCAUCUGUCUAACAGUGAAUUUCAUUGGGGCACAGAAGGUCCUCAGUUCGAUCCUGGGCCGACUCA